GAAGGUACAGCUAAGUGGUAGAGUGCAAGCCUUGCAUGCAUGAAGUCCAGGGUUCAAUCCCCAGUGCCUCCA
RNAcentral lists this transfer RNA (72 nucleotides) under Camelus bactrianus (Bactrian camel). It matches the Rfam family "tRNA". From Rfam's summary of the family: Transfer RNA (tRNA) molecules are approximately 80 nucleotides in length. RNAcentral also lists the same sequence under 1 other name. Lineage: Eukaryota; Metazoa; Chordata; Mammalia; Artiodactyla; Camelidae. The record is from Rfam by way of RNAcentral.